UUUAACCAUUUGUACAUCGUUACAACACUGUAUAUAUACAUCAUAUGACAUUUGAAAUGUCUUUAUUCUUUUGGAAAUUCUGUGAGUGUAAUUUUUACUGUUCAUUUAUAUUGUUUACCUCAAUUUUGCAUAUUAUCUACUUCUCUUGCUUUGGCAAUGUUAACAUGUGUUUCCCAUGUCAAUAAAGCCCCUUGAAUUGAAAUAAACAAAACAAAAGCGCCACCUGGUGGAGAAGACAGAUUUCGGGCCCAGUUAUCCCUCUUUGGUUCACCUCUUCCUCUCUGACAGACAACAGCAGACAGGCAGCACCAGGUCCUUGUAACUGUGAGUGCUGUAUGACAGAGACACAAGUAUCCACUACGUUCCCCACAGGUCCAUACACAGCUGUGUAGCGUAGCAAUCUAAAUAGUUUAUUUUUUAAAGAUGCUUCAGAAAAAAAGUUAACUUUCCCAAAGUCCCCACAAUGUGCGAGCCACACCCCCAUUGGUUCUCAGUACUGCUAGUAUAUAUAUACAACACACUCUAACAUCAGGCCAGUAUCCAUCUAUAUGGUGCAGGGUUCAGGUCUACUCCACAGGGUCCAGGCCCACCAUGAGGUCUCUACUCCACAGGGUCCAGGCCCACCAUGAGGUGUCUACUCCACAGGGUCCAGGCCCACCAUGAGGUCUCUACUCCACAGGGUCCAGGCCCACCAUGAGGUCUCUACUCCACAGGGUCCAGGUCUACUCCACAGGGUCCAGGCCCACCAUGAGGUCUCUACUCCACAGGGUUCAGGCCCACCAUGAGAUCUCUACUCCACAGGGUUCAGGCCCACCAUGAAGUCUCUACUCCACAGGGUCCAGGCCCACCAUGAGGUCUCUACUCCACAGGGUUCAGGCCCUCCAUGACAUCUCUACUCCACAGGGUCCAGGCCCACCAUGAGGUCUCUACUCCACAGGGUCCAGGCCCACCAUGAGGUCUCUAUUCCACAGGGUUCAGGCCCACCAUGAGGUCUCUACUCCACAGGGUCCAGGCCCACCAUGACAUCUCUACUCCACAGGGUCCAGGCCCACCAUGAGGUCUCUACUCCACAGGGUUCAGGCCCCCCAUGAGGUCUCUACUCCACAGGGUCCAGGCCCACCAUGAGGUCUCUACUCCACAGGGUCCAGGUCUACUCCACAGGGUCCAGACCCACCAUGAGGUCUCUAUUCCACAGGGUCCAGGCCCACCAUGAGAUCUCUACUCCACAGGGUUCAGGCCCACCAUGAGGUCUCUACUCCACAGGGUCCAGGCCCACCAUGAGGUCUCUACUCCACAGGGUCCAGGUCCACUCCACAGGGUCCAGGCCCACCAUGAGGUCUCUACUCCACAGGGUCCAGGCCCACCAUGAGGUCUCUACCCCACAGAGUCCAGGCCCACCAUGAGGUCUCUACUCCACAGGGUCCAGGUCCACUCCACAGGGUCCAGGCCCACCAUGGGGUCUCUACUCCACAGGGUCCAGGCCCACCAUGAGAUCUCUACUCCACAGGGUCCAGGCCUACCAUGAGGUCUCUACUCCACAGGGUCCAGACCCACCAUGAGGUCUCUACUCCACAGGGUCCAGGCCCACCAUGAGGUCUCUACUCCACAGGGUCCAGGCCCACCAUGAGGUCUCUACUCCACAGGAUCCAGGCCCACCAUGAGGUCUCUACUCCACAGGGUUCAGGCCCACCACGAGGUGUCUACUCCACAGGGUCCAGGCCCACCAUGAG
Long non-coding RNA from Oncorhynchus tshawytscha (Chinook salmon), 1730 nucleotides. NCBI's taxonomy places the organism in Eukaryota, Metazoa, Chordata, Actinopteri, Salmoniformes, Salmonidae. The record is from Ensembl.